GCGCAAGAUGGAGAAGGACAUUUUGGGCCAAGGUCGUGUGGGGAGGACUUUUUAGCAGAGAUGCCCAGCUCGAGCCACAGAGGCCUGGCUGGCUUCACCGAAGGAGCUGGUGGAAAGAUCCAGUGACACCAUGAGGACUAGAACUGAUGGCUGUGCCUUGUGCUCCAAAUUGUUGCUAAAGGAGUCGAUUAUAGCUGCUCCUGCCACGGAGAGCAGAGGGAACCUUGGAACAAGGCUGAUAGUGAAUAACAGAGUCUGCUGAGGUGCUGAAGCUCUUCUGUCUGCAGAGUUGCCUUUCCUGACCUGUGAGGAAUCAAACUUUUACAAGGGAGCAUUUGAGUGUCCAGACAGGAGCUGCCUCCUACCACUACUCUCUGUCACCCUCCGGAGUCCUGUCCUCCCUCGGAGUUGCGAUGUCACUGCAGGUGUUGGAGCCCCUCCAGUACCAAGUCUGCAGUGUCUCUUACACAAAGACACAUC
This is a long non-coding RNA of Fukomys damarensis (Damara mole-rat), 480 nucleotides long. RefSeq lists it as uncharacterized. The transcript has 4 exons. The record is from RefSeq and is a predicted model, not a curated record. NCBI's taxonomy places the organism in Eukaryota, Metazoa, Chordata, Mammalia, Rodentia, Bathyergidae.